This is a long non-coding RNA of Dioscorea cayenensis subsp. rotundata (Guinea yam), 1324 nucleotides long. RefSeq lists it as uncharacterized. The record is from RefSeq and is a predicted model, not a curated record. The transcript is spliced from 4 exons. Lineage: Eukaryota; Viridiplantae; Streptophyta; Magnoliopsida; Dioscoreales; Dioscoreaceae.
CGAAAUCGCCUAAAAAGAUAAGGUAAAGGAAAGGGUGGGGGGUGGGCGACAGGGAGGUGGCCGCCCCCUUCCCUCUCCCCUACCCCACCUGCGCCUUCUUCCCGUCAACAAGGAAGCCACAUGUAAUGAAAGCAUCCAUCUUUUCCAUAUACUACUCAUAUAUGGUGUCUCACUGGCGCUUUGUCUUUCUACUUGUUUUUUGGAGUUGCAAGAUGGGUUCUCUGGGUCUGGAGGAGGUGAAGAGGAGGAAGGCAAUGUGGUUGUACCCCAAGGUGCUUGGUUUCAACCCUUCUGAGACAUGGAGCCAGUCGGCUUGCUAAUUUUGAAGGUGAAUGAUCUUCACAUUUUAGAUUUAAGGACAUAAGAAUGGAGUAAGCCUAAUUUCAAAGGCAUGUCGCCUUUGCCCCGAGAGAGCCAUACCACCACUGUGGUUGCCGAUGUAAAGCUUGUGAUUUUUGGUGCUAGCAGAGAAAGCAAAGCCAAUUAUCUGAAUGAUGUACAUAUAGUUGACCUUAAGAGCAUGACUUGGAGUUCCCCUCAUGUUAAGGGUGAACUGCCAGCCCUAAGAGAUACCAACACUGCUGUUUCUAUGGGUAAUAAGCUUCUUAUUUAUGGGGGUGAUUGCGGUGAUCAUUAUCAUGGCGAAGUUGAUGUUCUCGGCAUGGAGAAUAUGACUUGGUCACGGCUUGUGAUUCAAGGGUCCUCACACGGAGUCAGAGCAGGUCAUGCAGCUGUAACUUAUGGGAGCAAGGGGAGUACUCAUGAUGAUGAUGUUUGAGGAAACGAACAAUGAAAGUAAGCAAUAAGCACUUCGAAUUUACAGUUUAACAAUGUUUUUUUUUUCUAUUCAAUAGGUUUAUGUUAUCGGUGGAGUUGGCUACAACCAAUACUAUAGUGAUGUUUGGGUUCUUGAUGUGACUAAUUAUUUGCGGACUCAGCUUGAUAUCGAUGGAAAGCAACUGCAAGGGAGAUUUUCUCAUACUGCUGUUAUUACCGGCACUGACAUUGCCAUUUACUGAGGAGGUUGCGGAGAGGAUGAGUGCCCGCUAAUUAAAUGAGUCGCUAAUUUAAUGGUCGGUACAACAUUUCAAUGUGUAAGAUUUUCCGCAAUCACUUGAUCCAAGAUAAGCAGAAGCUUUUGAAAGCAAGUGAAAAUUCACAAAAAAGCAUGGUUUCUAGUAAUGGAGUACUUAAUCAAGGAUCUCAUGAAGCUAAAGUUGAAACAAAGAUCCCUCUCAUACGAGGCUUGUCUUAGUUUAUAUUUUGUUCUUUUUUAAAAAAAUAUUAUUAAAACUAUUUUGGAUGACCUUAUGCACUAUUUGGU